UACGAAGGGGGCUAGCGUUGUUCGGAAUCACUGGGCGUAAAGGGCGCGUAGGCGGCUUUAUAAGUCGGGGGUGAAAGCCUGUGGCUCAACCACAGAAUUGCCUUCGAUACUGUAGAGCUUGAGACCGGAAGAGGUAAGUGGAACUGCGAGUGUAGAGGUGAAAUUCGUAGAUAUUCGCAAGAACACCAGUGGCGAAGGCGACUUCCUGGCCUGUUCUUGACGCUGAGGCGCGAAAGCUAGGGUAGCAAACGGG
RNAcentral lists this ribosomal RNA (253 nucleotides) under uncultured bacterium. RNAcentral's name for it is "partial 16S ribosomal RNA". It matches the Rfam family "Bacterial small subunit ribosomal RNA", at positions 524 to 776 of the family's 1533-position model. The record is from RNAcentral.